UGAGGAAGUAAAAGUCGUAACAAGGUCUCCGUAGGUGAACCUGCGGAGGGAUCAUUACCGAGUGAGGGUUUCGGCCCGACCUCCAACCCUUUGUGAACCACUCUUGUUGCUUCGGGGGCGACCCUGCCGUUCGCGGCGGCGGCGCCCCCGGAGGUCAUCAAACACUGCAUUUAUUAUGUCGGAGUCUCAAGUAAAUUGAACAAAACUUUCAACAACGGAUCUCUUGGUACUGGCAUCGAUGAAGAACGCAGCGAAAUGCGAUAAGUAAUGUGAAUUGCAGAAUUCAGUGAAUCAUCGAAUCUUUGAACGCACAUUGCGCCCCCUGGUAUUCCGGGGGGCAUGCCUGUUCGAGCGUCAUUUCACCACUCAAGCCUGGCUUGGUAUUGGGCGUCGCGGGUUUCCGCGCGCCUUAAAGUCUCCGGCUGAGCUGUCUUGAACCCUAGCGUUGUGAAUCAUAUUCGCUAUGGGUGACGGGCGGCCGCGGCCGUUAAAUCUUCAAAGGUUGACCUCGGAUCAGGUAGGGAUACCCGCUGAACUUAAGCAUAUC
RNAcentral lists this ribosomal RNA (547 nucleotides) under Mycosphaerella sp. 6 ICMP 18834. RNAcentral describes it as "eukaryotic LSU rRNA". The stretch from base 204 to 357 matches the Rfam family "5.8S ribosomal RNA". The record is from RNAcentral. Lineage: Eukaryota; Fungi; Ascomycota; Dothideomycetes; Mycosphaerellales; Mycosphaerellaceae.